RNAcentral lists this ribosomal RNA (469 nucleotides) under uncultured bacterium. RNAcentral describes it as "bacterial SSU rRNA". It matches the Rfam family "Bacterial small subunit ribosomal RNA", at positions 330 to 792 of the family's 1533-position model. The record is from RNAcentral.
ACCAGACUCCUACGGGAGGCAGCAGUAGGGAAUUUUCGUCAAUGGGCGCAAGCCUGAACGAGCAAUGCCGCGUGAGUGAGGAAGGUCUUCGGAUCGUAAAGCUCUGUUGCAGGUCAGAAAAGAAGGAAAGAGGAAAUGCUUUUCUUUUGAUAGUAACCUGCCAGAAAGUCACGGCUAACUACGUGCCAGCAGCCGCGGUAAUACGGAGGAUGCGAGCGUUAUCCGGAUUUAUUGGGUUUAAAGGGUGCGUAGGCGGGCUUUUAAGUCAGCGGUAAAAAUUCGGGGCUCAACCCCGUCCGGCCGUUGAAACUGGGGGCCUUGAGUGGGCGAGAAGAAGGCGGAAUGCGUGGUGUAGCGGUGAAAUGCAUAGAUAUCACGCAGAACCCCGAUUGCGAAGGCAGCCUUCCGGCGCCCUACUGACGCUGAGGCACGAAAGUGCGGGGAUCGAACAGGAUUAGAUACCCUCGUA